GGCCGUAAGGAGAUGCGAAACCCCACAGCAGAUGUCAGUCCAGGGCUGGAGCUCAGCUCUCAUCUGCAAUGCACCAGAACCCUGACAUCAGGGGAAAUUAGCUGCCAUAUCUUCUGAUCACUAAGUUUUUCUGGCUGCUCUGCCUGGGGAGCAGAGUGUCUUUCCUCCUCCUCUGGGCCCCAGCUGCAAGGUCACGGUG
Molecule: long non-coding RNA, 199 nt
Filed under: Microcebus murinus (gray mouse lemur)
Lineage: Eukaryota; Metazoa; Chordata; Mammalia; Primates; Cheirogaleidae
Description: lncRNA (ENSMICG00000048228.1)
Source: RNAcentral